RNAcentral lists this long non-coding RNA (291 nucleotides) under Nicotiana benthamiana. Its description in RNAcentral is "long non-coding RNA (NBEN_LNC012933)". Lineage: Eukaryota; Viridiplantae; Streptophyta; Magnoliopsida; Solanales; Solanaceae. The record is from RNAcentral.
UGACAAUCUAGAAUGGUGUGACAUGGUGACAACCAAUCCAUGAUUAAGGUUACAUCAAAAUCAAAAAUAGCUAAUAAGUGAAAGAUCAGCUGUCAUAUAUAAUCCCCCAAUAGUCACCACACAUGAAUGAUACACACUGUCCACAAUAAUAGAAUCACCCACCGAUUUAACAUGAACAUGCAUAAAUAAGGAACUACGGGGCAUAUCCAAAUAACGACGAAAGUAUGAUGAUACAUAUGGAUAAGUGGAACCAGGAUCAAACAAUUUUGAAGCAUCCUUGUGGCAUACUAG